RNAcentral lists this ribosomal RNA (404 nucleotides) under uncultured microorganism. RNAcentral describes it as "bacterial SSU rRNA". It matches the Rfam family "Bacterial small subunit ribosomal RNA", at positions 9 to 416 of the family's 1533-position model. The record is from RNAcentral.
GAGUUUGAUCAUGGCUCAGAUUGAACGCUGGCGGCAUGCCUUACACAUGCAAGUCGAACGGUAACAGGUCUUCGGAUGCUGACGAGUGGCGAACGGGUGAGUAAUACAUCGGAACGUGCCCAGACGUGGGGGGAUAACGAGGCGAAAGCUUUGCUAAUACCGCAUACGAUCUAAGGAUGAAAGCAGGGGACCGCAAGGCCUUGCGCGUUUGGAGCGGCCGAUGGCAGAUUAGGUAGUUGGUGGGAUAAAAGCUUACCAAGCCGACGAUCUGUAGCUGGUCUGAGAGGACGACCAGCCACACUGGGACUGAGACACGGCCCAGACUCCUACGGGAGGCAGCAGUGGGGAAUUUUGGACAAUGGGCGAAAGCCUGAUCCAGCAAUGCCGCGUGCAGGAUGAAGGCC